This 388-nucleotide ribosomal RNA is filed under the name uncultured bacterium. RNAcentral describes it as "partial 16S ribosomal RNA". It matches the Rfam family "Bacterial small subunit ribosomal RNA", at positions 523 to 918 of the family's 1533-position model. The record is from RNAcentral.
AUACGUAGGGAGCGAGCGUUAUCCGGAUUUAUUGGGCGUAAAGGGUGCGUAGGCGGUUUGUUAAGUAUGUAAUUAAAGCCCGGGGCUUAACCUCGGUUCGUUACAUAAACUUGCAGACUAGAGUAUGGCAGAGGUAAACGGAAUUUCUAGUGUAGCGGUUAAAUGCGUAGAUAUUAGAAAGAACACCAGUGGCGAAGGCGGUUUACUGGGCCACAACUGACGCUGAGGCACGAAAGCGUGGGGAGCAAAUAGGAUUAGAUACCCUAGUAGUCCACGCAGUAAACGAUGAGUACUAAGUGUCGGGGCAACUCGGUGCUGAAGUUAACACAUUAAGUACUCCGCCUGAGUAGUACGGUCGCAAGGCUGAAACUCAAAUGAAUUGACGGGG